This is a microRNA precursor of Pan troglodytes (chimpanzee), 97 nucleotides long. It matches the Rfam family "mir-544 microRNA precursor family". The record is from Rfam. Lineage: Eukaryota; Metazoa; Chordata; Mammalia; Primates; Hominidae.
AUCACAUAGGGAUCUUGUUAAGAUGCAGAUUCUUGUUCAGUAGCUUUAGGUGUGUCCCUAGAUUUUGCAUGUCUAACAAGCUCCGAGAUGAUGCUGA